GCCGGCGUCCUCCCCUGCGGCCUCGCGCCCGCUCAGUCUCGCCGCGGACCCCGCCUCCGGGAAGGCGCCCGGCGUUCCCCUUUCCGCCUCCGACAUCCUGGCGGGGAACGCCGAGGAGCGACGUCCCGCGUUACCCUUACACAGGGUCGCCAUCUAGUGACAGCAGGAUAUACAGCUGCGUGCAGACGUGAAGCCGGCCGCCGGUACAAGUUUGGAAGGUUCUGAGGAAGGCGAGCCUGGGCCACAUCUGAGGAGGGCCUCGUGUGAACAGUAGCCUGGUCUUCGAAAGGAGAGGCCGGCGGCGCCAGUGAGGUUAGCUCCGAGAGCCCGCACUCGGCAGAAGACCUGUCUGCAAGGGGGUGUGGCUUAGCAAAGCCCACUCUGUGUCGGGAGCGGGGAACGGUGUGCCGGGAGACAGGGGCACCGGAGGGACCUCCACCAGCUCCGGACAGGCCUGCCCUCCCGGAGCGUCAGCUCCAGAAGACAGGGCAGGGGAGGACAGAACUCCUAGGUUCCUGGAAAGGCCUCCGGGAGAGCCCGCUCUCAAACUUGCUGCAGCACGGACCCAAGGAACAAGCGCAGUCUGCGGCACACAUCCAGAUUGGCUUCGUGGAGGGAGGUUGUUACGGGACAGAGUACCGGGUCCAAACUCAGGUUGGGCUGCUCGCUGCUGGAAAAUCAGUCCUCGAGAGACAAGUGAUGAUGGGAAAGGAAAGAAUCCUUUAGGUGCAAAGACACACCUCUAGACUGAAAGGUCGGUAGAGUCCCAGUGGACAAAGAUUAAGGAGGCCCCAAAGGCUGCUGCAAGAAAGUACUACAGCCUCGGUGGCCUGGACUACAGAAAUGUACCAUCUCACAUGUCUGCAGGCGAGAAGUCCAAGAUCCACCAGUCAUCAGGACUGGCCCCUUCUGAGGGCUCUCGGGGAGAACCUGCUCCGGGCCUUUCUCCCAGCUUCCAGUGCUUUGCUGGCGAUCUCUGGUGGGUUUUGGCAUGUAGACACAUCCCACCCAUCUGCCUUUAUGUUCACAUGACAUUCUCCCAGGAUGCAUGUCUGUGUCCAGAUCUCCCCUUUUCGUAAUUACCCAGUUAUACUGGAUGAGGGCCACCCCCCCCAUGGCCUCACCUUGACGAAUGACAUCUCCAGAGAAGGUCACAUUCUGAGGUGCUGGGGGACGAAUUUGGGAGGACACAAUUCAACUGAGGCCCUUAAGAACCUGAAACAAGACGGCAGUAAAUCCCUCAUCUUCUACCCGCUGCCGUGGUGACAUGAAAAGGGAUGUGGGAGGGAGGGGACGUUCAGCUCAUAAAAUACGCAAGAAAGUUUUUCUUUCUGCAUCAGGUUUGUAUCAGGAUUGUGUUCUUAUCCCCCGGUAAACAAUAAAAUCUCCAAGCCAGACAA
This is a long non-coding RNA of Zalophus californianus (California sea lion), 1400 nucleotides long. RefSeq lists it as uncharacterized. The record is from RefSeq and is a predicted model, not a curated record. NCBI's taxonomy places the organism in Eukaryota, Metazoa, Chordata, Mammalia, Carnivora, Otariidae. The transcript is spliced from 5 exons.